This 468-nucleotide ribosomal RNA is filed under the name uncultured bacterium. Its description in RNAcentral is "partial 16S ribosomal RNA". It matches the Rfam family "Bacterial small subunit ribosomal RNA", at positions 28 to 507 of the family's 1533-position model. The record is from RNAcentral.
GACGAACGCUGGCGGCGUGCUUAACACAUGCAAGUCGAACGGAAAGGCCCUGCUUUUGUGGGGUGCUCGAGUGGCGAACGGGUGAGUAACACGUGAGUAACCUGCCCUUGACUUUGGGAUAACUUCAGGAAACUGGGGCUAAUACCGGAUAGGAGCUCCUGCUGCAUGGUGGGGGUUGGAAAGUUUCGGCGGUUGGGGAUGGACUCGCGGCUUAUCAGCUUGUUGGUGGGGUAGUGGCUUACCAAGGCUUUGACGGGUAGCCGGCCUGAGAGGGUGACCGGCCACAUUGGGACUGAGAUACGGCCCAGACUCCUACGGGAGGCAGCAGUGGGGAAUAUUGCACAAUGGGCGGAAGCCUGAUGCAGCAACGCCGCGUGCGGAAUGACGGCCUUCGGGUUGUAGACCGCUUUCGCCUGUGACGAAGCGUGAGUGACGGUAAUGGGUAAAGAAGCACCGGCUAACUACGUG